UACGUAGGGUGCGAGCGUUGUCCGGAAUUAUUGGGCGUAAAGGGCUCGUAGGCGGUUUGUCGCGUCUGCUGUGAAAACCUAAGGCUCAACCUUGGGCUUGCAGUGGGUACGGGCAGACUAGAGUGCGGUAGGGGUGACUGGAAUUCCUGGUGUAGCGGUGGAAUGCGCAGAUAUCAGGAGGAACACCGAUGGCGAAGGCGGCUGACUGGACAUGUAUUGACGCUGAGGUGCGAAAGCGUGGGGAGCGAACAGG
This 253-nucleotide ribosomal RNA is filed under the name uncultured bacterium. RNAcentral's name for it is "partial 16S ribosomal RNA". It matches the Rfam family "Bacterial small subunit ribosomal RNA", at positions 524 to 776 of the family's 1533-position model. The record is from RNAcentral.